GACGAACGCUGGCGGCGUGGAUUAGGCAUGCAAGUCGAACGGUAUCAUCCUUUCGGGGGUGAGAGAGUGGCGAACUGGUGAGUAACACGUAGGUUAUCUACCCUCAAGACGGGGACAACCCAGGGAAACUUGGGCUAAUACCGGAUGUGAGCAACUUUUUAGUUGUUUGAAAGGUGGCGUAAGCUGUCGCUUGGGGAUGAGCCUGCGUCCUAUUAGUUAGUUGGUGAGGUAACGGCUCACCUAGGCAAUGAUAGGUAGGCGGCCUUAACGGGUGGUCGCCCACACUGGGAUUGAGAUACGGCCCAGACUCCUACGGGAGGCAGCAGUCGAGAAUAGUCUACAAUGGUCGGAAGACUGAUAGUGCGACGCCGCGUGAACGAUGAAUCCCUUCGGGGUGUAAAGUUCUUUUAUAUGUGAGCAGUGCUUCUUAUAUUAACAGUAUGGGGAGAGAGAUAUUAGCAUAUGAAUAAGCAACGGCUAACUCCGUGCCAGCAGCCGCGGUAAUA
This 506-nucleotide ribosomal RNA is filed under the name uncultured bacterium. Its description in RNAcentral is "bacterial SSU rRNA". It matches the Rfam family "Bacterial small subunit ribosomal RNA", at positions 28 to 525 of the family's 1533-position model. The record is from RNAcentral.